ACUGAAUCUGUAGAUUGCUUAGGAGCAAUGACACAUGUGAAGCGAUUUCUCCAGGUCUCCAUUCCUUCUCUGAGGCUCUUAGAAUCCAGGCCCUGGGUCUGGUGCUAAUGUGCUCGCUGGCUGAGCUGUGCUCACCUGUCCAGCUGCCACUGAGUUCAAGGUCAGAUGUAGUGAAGAUGAUAAAGCAGCCCCACGAAGUCAUUCUAUGGACAGAUGGAAGGCGUGUGCACAGCACCUAAUAUUUCUGUUCUUACCGUGUGCCCAGGCAGCUUCUCUGGGCCUGACUUCAGGACAGUGCUUCUCCCGUCCCCACCUCCCUUUGCCAGAACCCAAAGCUGAAAACUCGGGUGGGAGGGUGGAUGGAAUGAUCUGCCCCCGUCCCACCUUCAAUCACGGGCUCCAAACGCGAAUAUAAACUUU
RNAcentral lists this long non-coding RNA (420 nucleotides) under Equus caballus (horse). Its description in RNAcentral is "lncRNA (ENSECAG00000028890.3)". The record is from RNAcentral. Lineage: Eukaryota; Metazoa; Chordata; Mammalia; Perissodactyla; Equidae.